GCGAAGCUCCUGAUCGAAGCCCCAGUAAACGGCGGCCGUAACUAUAACGGUCCUAAGGUAGCGAAAUUCCUUGUCGGGUAAGUUCCGACCUGCACGAAUGGCGUAAUGAUGGCCAGGCUGUCUCCACCCGAGACUCAGUGAAAUUGAACUCGCUGUGAAGAUGCAGUGUACCCGCGGCAAGACGGAAAGACCCCGUGAACCUUUACUAUAGCUUGACACUGAACAUUGAGCCUUGAUGUGUAGGAUAGGUGGGAGGCUUUGAAGUGUGGACGCCAGUCUGCAUGGAGCCAACCUUGAAAUACCACCCUUUAACGUUUGAUGUUCUAACCUAGGCCCAUAAACUGGGUCGGGGACCGUGUCUGGUGGGUAGUUUGACUGGGGCGGUCUCCUCCUAAAGAGUAACGGAGGAGCACGAAGGUUGGCUAAGCAUGGUCGGACAUCAUGCGGUUAGUGCAAAGGCAUAAGCCAGCUUGACUGCGAGAGUGACGGCUCGAGCAGGUACGAAAGUAGGUCUUAGUGAUCCGGUGGUUCUGAAUGGAAGGGCCAUCGCUCAACGGAUAAAAGGUACUCCGGGGAUAACAGGCUGAUACCGCCCAAGAGUUCAUAUCGACGGCGGUGUUUGGCACCUCGAUGUCGGCUCAUCACAUCCUGGGGCUGAAGUAGGUCCCAAGGGUAUGGCUGUUCGCCAUUUAAAGUGGUACGCGAGCUGGGUUUAGAACGUCGUGAGACAGUUCGGUCCCUAUCUGCCGUGGGCGUUGGAAGAUUGAGAGGGGUUGCUCCUAGUACGAGAGGACCGGAGUGAACGCACCACUGGUGUUCGGGUUGUCAUGCCAAUGGCAUUGCCCGGUAGCUAAGUGCGGAAGAGAUAACCGCUGAAAGCAUCUAAGCGGGAAACUUGCCUCGAGAUGAGUCUUCCCUGUCGCUUUAAGCGACCUAAAGGAACGUUUAAGACUAAGACGUUGAUAGGCUGGGUGUGUAAGCGUAGCGAUACGUUGAGCUAACCAGUACUAAUGAACCGUGAGGCUUAACCUGACAACACCGAAAGUGUUUUG
Molecule: ribosomal RNA, 1052 nt
Filed under: Proteus mirabilis
Lineage: Bacteria; Pseudomonadati; Pseudomonadota; Gammaproteobacteria; Enterobacterales; Morganellaceae
Also listed under: 3 other names
Description: partial 23S ribosomal RNA
Rfam family: Bacterial large subunit ribosomal RNA
Source: RNAcentral